CUGUAGGCAAUACGGCCGACGUACUCGAUCUUCCCAACGCUUUCGUCCAGGCGCCCCGGGAUAACUCAUCCCCUUAAUUUCCCGCGAUUCGUCUCUUACGAUUUGAACAAAAAAAAUACACAGUCACGUACGUGCAAAAAAAAAAGGAGGAAAAUAAUCGCGAACUACUUUUUUCGCACAAGUGAAAAGUAUCCAUUUAGAGAGAAAAAUGAGAAUUGUUAUUAUUAGAAACAAUUGAAAUUUUUAUCGUUUUUUUUUUUGGAUUUUUUUUUUUGUUGGUGAAAACAGGAAGUAUUUUCUCUAGUGAAGAGAGAGAGAGAGAGAGAGAGAAAGCGAGGGAGGAAGUGAAGAAGAGAUGCUCCGCUUUUCAACUCCCUUUAAGGGUAUUUAAAAUAGAAAUCGCGAGAAAGGGGAAAAUGUGUAAGCGCGCGUGACAUGUUCGUGUGUGAUUCGUAGUUAGCUUUUUCCAUGUAAAUCGAUCAUCACUGUAUAAACUCCUGUUUCAUUAACGAUAAUACACUUUUAUAAACAGAAUUUAAAAGAAAUAAACAUGGUUUGUGAAGAAAGAUGAAAUGGAUUAUUCGUCAGGUUGACAUAAAGAAAAGUGGAGAAAAUUUUGUUUUCCUUUCUUUCAUUCAUCGGGGACAAGUGUGAAUUUAGGGAGUGCUGAUGUGAUUGAAGAUCUCUAAAGUGUUUAAGGAUUUGUUGGAAGACCGAAAACCCAGGAGAAUCUCAACAAAAUUCAAUAACCUGAAAUUCCGGAAUCCUGCAUCCACUCCGGAAACUUCAUGUGAGUGUGCUGCUUCGAGAAUUAAUUAAAUCAGUAAUCGAAUAUGUGCAGGAUGCGCUUUCUCAUAUAAGGAAACUGGGAACUUGAAGAAGAAAAAAAAUAAUAAUAAUAAUAAAAUACGAGGAGACAAAUAUAUAAACAAAAUGCUUUGAAAGAAUACAAAAUAGAAAAGAAGGACAACAGAAAAAAAGACG
Leptopilina heterotoma is the source of this 984-nucleotide long non-coding RNA. RefSeq lists it as uncharacterized. Lineage: Eukaryota; Metazoa; Arthropoda; Insecta; Hymenoptera; Figitidae. The record is from RefSeq and is a predicted model, not a curated record. The transcript is spliced from 3 exons.